Molecule: non-coding RNA, 241 nt
Filed under: Bacillus subtilis
Lineage: Bacteria; Bacillati; Bacillota; Bacilli; Caryophanales; Bacillaceae
Source: RNAcentral
UCAAAAACCGUGACAGAGGACCUCAAUUUCUGAUCAACUGCUUUCCAGGGAGAAAAUGCCGCUGACUGAGAGCAUUUUUAACGCAGCCGGAAAUUGGCUUCACCUCUUGAGUUGUCGCCGGGACCGCGUACACUGCGCGUAAAGGUGAACCGGAAUCUGAUUCCGUUAUGUCAAUGAAGCUGACGACAGCAUCAGUCUGUCUGAAAUAAGGGUGGUACCGCGGCCACAACUCGUCCCUUGU